This 534-nucleotide long non-coding RNA is filed under the name Scleropages formosus (Asian bonytongue). RNAcentral's name for it is "lncRNA (ENSSFOG00015029990.1)". Lineage: Eukaryota; Metazoa; Chordata; Actinopteri; Osteoglossiformes; Osteoglossidae. The record is from RNAcentral.
AUGCUAUUCCACAUGAUGUUGGAGUUCUGUGCCUGGUGCGUGUGUGUGUGUGUGUGUGUGUGUGUGUGUGUGUGUGUUCUCGACUCAGCCUCCUGUCGACAAGUUUUGUGGACGUUCAAAGACAUUAUGGUCUGUUCACCGAGCUCUCGGAUGCUGUGCCUUAAGGAAACGUACCCGAAUCCGAGUAACCUGAACGUCUCCAGUAAGCAGCAGCUCGUGGUGCUCGGUGCUGCUUCAACCAAAGCCCUGACCAGAGAGACGAGAACCUGGAUCAUAGACUCCUUCAGCAUCGAAGAGGAACACCCAGGUCCAUACCCGUUCGUACUCGGACCUAUCAGGGUUGAACAGAACUACCAACUGAGGUUCAGGCUCACUGGAAGCGGUGUGGACAAAGACCCCGUCGGCGUCCUCAGCAUAGACACGGAGACUGGAAACAUCAUAGUCCAUCGCAAGGUCGAUUACGAGCUUUUCCCGCAUCUGAAGGUGAGACGGCUCACAGAAAAGUUUCGGAAAAGGUCACACGGCUCCCAUUAG